GAAUGUCUGCAGAUACUGGAGAGUGCCG
RNAcentral lists this non-coding RNA (28 nucleotides) under Cricetulus griseus (Chinese hamster). The record is from RNAcentral. Lineage: Eukaryota; Metazoa; Chordata; Mammalia; Rodentia; Cricetidae.